Molecule: long non-coding RNA, 203 nt
Filed under: Elaeis guineensis (African oil palm)
Lineage: Eukaryota; Viridiplantae; Streptophyta; Magnoliopsida; Arecales; Arecaceae
Description: long non-coding RNA (EGUI_LNC044135)
Source: RNAcentral
UGCUAUACAUUUUCCUUAUAUUAGUUGUGUUAUAUGUUGCCUUUUUAAAGCGUUUGAUUGAAACUAAUCCUUCUCUGGUAUAAUUUAUAUCUGUUUUAUAAUCCACAACAAUUCUACAGAAAAGAAAGAGAAAAGAUGAAAAGAAAAGCAGAAAUACAAAAAUAUUGGGUUUGUUAACGGGUGAGGCUGGUUUGAAUGCCCCG